This 712-nucleotide ribosomal RNA is filed under the name Xylariales sp. A592. RNAcentral describes it as "partial large subunit ribosomal RNA". It matches the Rfam family "Eukaryotic large subunit ribosomal RNA", at positions 755 to 1029 of the family's 3401-position model. Lineage: Eukaryota; Fungi; Ascomycota; Sordariomycetes; Xylariales. The record is from RNAcentral.
GCAUCAUCGACCGAUCCUGAAGUCUUCGGAUGGAUUUGAGUAAGAGCAUAACUGUUCGGACCCGAAAGAUGGUGAACUAUGCGUGGAUAGGGUGAAGCCAGAGGAAACUCUGGUGGAGGCUCGCAGCGGUUCUGACGUGCAAAUCGAUCGUCAAAUCUGCGCAUGGGGGCGAAAGACUAAUCGAACCAUUAACGGAGAGACCAGCGGUAAAUAAUUAUUUACUAGGUGGUUAAUAGGCUUCUUGCGAGAGGAAGCCUAGGUCGGACUUACCCGGGAUGAACCGGGUAACCCUUACCCGGGACCUACCCGGUAGCUCCCUACCCGGGAGCUACCCUGUAGUACCGGGUAGCCGGCCGACACCGCUAAAUUGCGGGGACAUCCUACAGAAGGCUCCAGGCUACCGCCGCGUGCUGAAAAGCGUCCGCGGCACCAAGAAUAGCGCUCUUGGGUAUGGUAAAAACGCCUGGGGUAUCGGACGACCUGCAGCCAACCCCGCCAGCCCUAGAAGGGCCCAGGGGAGAGUUCACUGACUAAACAGCGGUGGGUCUUGCGGCGAGAGCCGUAGGGCUUAAGACAUAGUCGAUCUGGGCCCUGAAAAGGUGACCCUAAAGUAUUAUACUUAGCGGAGCUAGUAGCUGGUUACCGCCGAAGUUUCCCUCAGGAUAGCAGUGUUGUUUUCAGUUUUAUGAGGUAAAGCGAAUGAUUAGGGACU